CUAUACUAUGAGCCUUAGGCUUUAUUUUCCUAUUUACCAUAGGAGGCUUACCAGGCACUGUAUUAGCAAACUCUUCACUAGACAUUGCUCUUCAUGACACAUACUACAUAGGGCCCACUUUUAUAUCUCUUGG
Long non-coding RNA from Leopardus geoffroyi (Geoffroy's cat), 133 nucleotides. RefSeq lists it as uncharacterized. NCBI's taxonomy places the organism in Eukaryota, Metazoa, Chordata, Mammalia, Carnivora, Felidae. The record is from RefSeq and is a predicted model, not a curated record. The transcript has 3 exons.